RNAcentral lists this ribosomal RNA (461 nucleotides) under uncultured bacterium. Its description in RNAcentral is "partial 16S ribosomal RNA". It matches the Rfam family "Bacterial small subunit ribosomal RNA", at positions 338 to 795 of the family's 1533-position model. The record is from RNAcentral.
CCUACGGGUGGCAGCAGUGAGGAAUAUUGGUCAAUGGGCGGGAGCCUGAACCAGCCAAGUCGCGUGAGGGAAGACGGUCCUAUGGAUUGUAAACCUCUUUAGGCGGGGAGCAAUGCCGGGCACGCGUGCCCGGAGGGCGAGUACCCGCAGAAUAAGCAUCGGCUAACUCCUUGCCAGCAGCCGCGGUAAUACGUAGGGGGCAAGCGUUAUCCGGAUUUAAUGGGGGUAAAGGGAGCGCAUACGGCAAUGCAAGCCUGGGGGGAAAGGCGGGGGCCCAACCCCCGGACUGCUCUGGAAACUGUAUAGCUAGAGUGCAGGAGAGGCAAGUGGAAUUCCUAGGGUAGCGGUGAAAUGCGUAGAUAUUAGGAGGAACACCAGUGGCGAAGGCGGCUUGCUGGACUGUAACUGACGUUGAGGCUCGAAAGCGUGGGGAGCAAACAGGAUUAGAUACCCGGGUAGUC